UGGGGAAUAUUGCACAAUGGGCGCAAGCCUGAUGCAGCCAUGCCGCGUGUAUGUAGAAGGCCUUCGGGUUGUAAAGUACUUUCAGCGGGGAGGAAGGGAGUAAAGUUAAUACCUUUGCUCAUUGACGUUACCCGCAGAAGAAGCACCGGCUAACUCCGUGCCAGCAGCCGCGGUAAUACGGAGGGUGCAAGCGUUAAUCGGAAUUACUGGGCGUAAAGCGCACGCAGGCGGUUUGUUAAGUCAGAUGUGAAAUCCCCGGGCUCAACCUGGGAACUGCAUCUGAUACUGGCGAGCUUGAGUCUCGUAGAGGGGGGUAGAAUUCCAGGUGUAGCGGUGAAAUGCGUAGAGAUCUGGAGGAAUACCGGUGGCGAAGGCGGCCCCCUGGAAGAAGACUGACGCUCAGGUGCGAAAGCGUGGGGAGCAAACAGG
Molecule: ribosomal RNA, 429 nt
Filed under: Chloroflexota bacterium
Lineage: Bacteria; Bacillati; Chloroflexota
Description: Chloroflexi bacterium partial 16S ribosomal RNA
Rfam family: Bacterial small subunit ribosomal RNA
Source: RNAcentral